ACGACGCUGGCGGCGUGCCUAACACAUGCAAGUCGAGCGAGGAGAUCCUUCGGGAUGAUCCUAGCGGCGGACGGGUGAGUAACACGUGGGCAACCUGCCUCAUAGAGAGGAAUAGCCUUCCGAAAGGGAGAUUAAUACCUCAUAACAUUGCAGUUUCGCAUGGAACAGCAAUUAAAGGAGUAAUCCGCUAUGAGAUGGGCCCGCGGCGCAUUAGCUAGUUGGUGAGGUAACGGCUCACCAAGGCGACGAUGCGUAGCCGACCUGAGAGGGUGAUCGGCCACAUUGGGACUGAGACACGGCCCAGACCCCUACGGGAGGCAGCAGUGGGGAAUAUUGCACAAUGGGGGAAACCCUGAUGCCAGCAACGCCGCGUGAGUGAUGACGGCCUUCGGGUUGUAAAGCUCUGUCUUCAGGGACGAUAAUGACGGUACCUGAGGAGGAAGCCACGGCUAACUACGUGCCAGCCGCGGC
Molecule: ribosomal RNA, 471 nt
Filed under: uncultured bacterium
Lineage: Bacteria
Description: bacterial SSU rRNA
Rfam family: Bacterial small subunit ribosomal RNA
Source: RNAcentral